RNAcentral lists this transfer RNA (88 nucleotides) under Candidatus Altarchaeales archaeon WOR_SM1_79. Its description in RNAcentral is "Candidatus Altiarchaeales archaeon WOR_SM1_79 tRNA-Ser". It matches the Rfam family "tRNA". From Rfam's summary of the family: Transfer RNA (tRNA) molecules are approximately 80 nucleotides in length. Lineage: Archaea; Nanobdellati; Candidatus Altarchaeota; Candidatus Altarchaeia; Candidatus Altarchaeales. The record is from RNAcentral.
GCCGGAUUGGCAGAGCCUGGUUUAUUGCCCCCGUCUCGAAAACGGAUGGUCACUCAGUGACACGGAGGUUCGAAUCCUCCAUCCGGCG